CCUACGGGAGGCAGCAGUGGGGGAUAUUGCACAAUGGGGGGAACCCUGAUGCAGCAACGCCGCGUGGGUGAAGAAGCGCCUCGGCGCGUAAAGCCCUGUCAGCAGGGAAGAAAAUGACGGUACCUGAAGAAGAAGCCCCGGCUAACUACGUGCCAGCAGCCGCGGUAAUACGUAGGGGGCAAGCGUUAUCCGGAUUUACUGGGUGGAAAGGGGGCGCAGACGGCGAUGCAAGCCAGGAGUGAAAGCCCGGGGCCCAACCCCGGGACUGAUCUUGGAACUGCGUGGCUGGAGUGCAGGAGGGGCAGGCGGAAUUCCUGGUGUAGCGGUGAAAUGCGUAGAUAUCAGGAGGAACACCGGUGGCGGAGGCGGCCUGCUGGACUGCAACUGACGUUGAGGCCCGAAAGCGUGGGGAGCAAACAGGAUUAGAUACCCCGGUAGUC
RNAcentral lists this ribosomal RNA (440 nucleotides) under uncultured bacterium. RNAcentral's name for it is "partial 16S ribosomal RNA". It matches the Rfam family "Bacterial small subunit ribosomal RNA", at positions 338 to 795 of the family's 1533-position model. The record is from RNAcentral.